UGAGAAGGGCAUGGACCUGGGGAUG
RNAcentral lists this non-coding RNA (25 nucleotides) under Mus musculus (house mouse). The record is from RNAcentral. Lineage: Eukaryota; Metazoa; Chordata; Mammalia; Rodentia; Muridae.